GUAACAAGGUUUCCGUAGGUGAACCUGCGGAAGGAUCAUUGAAUUAUUAAAACCACAAUGCGAACCUAUCUGUUCCGUGCCUUAGCUGCCAGCAAGGCAAUUGGCUUGCCCAAUUGUACUUGCAAGCUGGUGCGAGUAAUUUGAUUACUUGCAUCAGUGGCGCUUUGGCAUGCUUAUACACCAGUGCUAACCACUGUCAAAACCAAACUCUGAAGCUUUGAUUGCUAUUAACUGGCAAUCUUAACCAAAGACAACUCUCAACAACGGAUAUCUUGGCUCUCGCAACGAUGAAGAACGCAGCGAAAUGCGAUACGUAGUGUGAAUUGCAGAAUUCCGUGAACCAUCGAAUCUUUGAACGCAUAUUGCGCUCGAGCCCUCGGGCAAGAGCAUGUCUGCCUCAGCGUCGGUUUAUACCCUCACCCCUCUCUCCUUUUGGAGGGCUGGUCAGCUUCUAGUUGGCCUGAGGGGUGGAUCUGGCUUUCCCAAUUGGUUCACUCCGAUUGGGUUGGCUGAAGCAUAGAGGCUUAAGCAAGGACCCGAUAUGGGCUUCAACUGGAUAGGUAGCACCGGCUUCUGCCGACUACACGAAGUUGUGGCUUGUGGACUUUGCUAGAGGCCAAGCAGGAAACAUGCUUUGCAUGUCUUAAACUUUCGACCUGAGCUCAGGCAAGGCUACCCGCUGAACUUAAGCAUAUCAAU
This 699-nucleotide unclassified non-coding RNA is filed under the name Tetradesmus obliquus var. dactylococcoides. RNAcentral describes it as "sequence contains 5.8S rRNA gene, ITS2, 28S rRNA gene". The stretch from base 253 to 406 matches the Rfam family "5.8S ribosomal RNA". The record is from RNAcentral. Lineage: Eukaryota; Viridiplantae; Chlorophyta; Chlorophyceae; Sphaeropleales; Scenedesmaceae.